RNAcentral lists this ribosomal RNA (408 nucleotides) under uncultured bacterium. Its description in RNAcentral is "partial 16S ribosomal RNA". It matches the Rfam family "Bacterial small subunit ribosomal RNA", at positions 28 to 526 of the family's 1533-position model. The record is from RNAcentral.
GACGAACGCUGGCGGCGUGCCUAAUACAUGCAAGUCGAGCGAAGCGGCGGACAGGUGAGUAACACGUAAGGAACCUACCGAUAAGCGGGGGACAACAUCCGGAAACGGGUGCUAAUACCGCAUACUUAUCGAUGGCCUUGCGGUGCAUUAGCUCGUUGGUGGGGUAACGGCCUACCAAGGCAAUGAUCCAUAGCCGACCUGAGAGGGUAACCGGCCACACUGGGACUGAGACACGGCCCAAACUCCUACGGGAGGCAGCAGUGGGGAAUCUUCCGCAAUGGGCGCAAGCCUUACGGAGCAACGCCGCGUGAGUGAAGAAGGUUUUCGGAUCGUAAAGCUCUGUCGUCAGAGAAGCGGUAUCUUACGAGAAAGCCACGGCUAACUACGUGCCAGCCGCCGCGGUAAUUC